Molecule: long non-coding RNA, 12664 nt
Organism: Corvus hawaiiensis (hawaiian crow)
Lineage: Eukaryota; Metazoa; Chordata; Aves; Passeriformes; Corvidae
Exons: 3
Source: RefSeq, a predicted model, not a curated record
AAGGUUCCUCCCUGCCCAUCUCUCCAGCCUGUCAAGGUCCUUCUGAAGGGCUGCACAGUACCCUGGGGUAUUGGCCAGUCAUCCCAGCUUUACAUUGUCAGUGACACUGCUGAGGAGGCCUCUGCCCCUUCAUCCAAGUCACUGAUGGAUAAGUUAAACAAGACUGGGCCCAGUACUGAACCUUGGGAGACACCACUAGGAACAGGCCUCCAACUGGACCCUGUCCCACUGAUUACAAUCCUCUGGGUUCUGCUGUUCAUCUUGCUCUGAUCUUUUGUCAGUUAAAUGAUGAGCUCUGGAGCAGUGUGGUCUAUUGGUCGUGGGAAGUCAAUAUGGCUUUUCAUUAGUACUCAGCUUCCUCUCAAUUGUAACAGAAUAUUAUCUAGGUAGGCAUAUUUGCUUAUUUUUUAAAGGAGGUUUAAAACACACGGACUAAAAGUAAUGUUGCAAAAAUUAACCACCACCCUUCCACUAACAGUUAAAAGACAUUUACUUACGGGAGAUCUGACAAAAUGUAUAACUGAAUGUCAAAUGUGUACAGAUUACUAUGGAGAAAAAGGAUAUAAACACCUUUUAGUAUUAUGUUGCAAGACAUCCACUAGAUAAAAAAGAACAAAGAAUAUCAAUAGGAAACAUCCUAUUUCUAAUAAUUUAUGUCAUGGGUAGGUAUUACUGGGCUGAAACGACUCCAUGAAUGGAUUAUGGAGGUGAAAAAAAUGAUAAGGACAUGAGGACAUGAACAAUGUGUUUUAUUAGUGAUGUAUAAAAGGGCUAAUGCUCUCUUCAGACUUUUUUGCAUGUCCAUAGGGAAAUAUUCCCAAAACCUCAAUAGGAUACUCUUUUUUAGACUUCUGAGAUUCAAAAUAUCUUUUAGUCUCAAUGAGGUUUUAUACAAUCCAGUGUUUUGUCUAUGUUUCAUUGUUUUGUUGUUUUUUUGCAGCGUAUCUGUGGUUCCUAAAUGAAUACUAUCAGACAAAAUUCUCAGAGGAAAAUUAGAAACAUAAUGGAUCAGAUCUUAAAAUGAGGUAACUUAAUACUACCAGAAUAGGCUAGCAAUUACAACUAAUUACAAAUUGAGAUUUGCCUCUGACUCUUAAAGAAGCAUAAUUUUACUUUAUCAGUGGUAGUGUAAGAAGUCACCGUGUAUCUACAAGUGCUUUUUUCUCUCUCAAGAGCCAGGACCACCUCUGCAGGACUAACUUGAUCAAGAAAAGAGUCUUGAUAGGAAAGCUAAUUGGAUAAGCUCUUCUAAUUUUUCAAAAUACAACUGUAGAUGGUGGUUCUACAUCCCUGACAGAUUUUGUAGCACUGUACUCUUGCCACCUGUUAAUGUGUGAAUGUGAUUGGCUGCUCCUUCCACACUCUUCAACACAUGAAACCAAUAUUGUCAUCAAAUGUAACUCAUUUCUUUCUAUCAUUGUGUGCUACUACACAUCCUUCUUAUUCCUUGUCUGAUAGGUAAAGAAUAAUUUUAAAGUGCAGUUAGCCAAGAAGAUAUGACAGAAGCCUCAAUAGUCCCUAUUAAAUGGGAACUAAUUGCAAUCACACUAACUGUCUAUGUGUGUCUUAGAUUUACAAGACAACCAGCUAGUGUAGUUUUAAAUGUUAGCCUCUUUAGGAUCAGAAGUAUCAUCUCAUGAAUUCAGUGUGCUGUGCCUCAGAAGUUAGGAGCCUUUGAAAACAUGUAGUUCAAAUUUAAGCAACCAGAAGAUUAAUAGAGAUGUAAGUGGUAUUAUUUUUAGCUUUCAUUCUUGAGGAAUGUAAGAUUACAUGUUAAACGAAGUACAUAUGGAAUACAGGUACUUCUGCUGUCAGAACUUGGGGAGAUUUUUAUAGCCUUCAGAAUCAAAUUGAGAGAUCUGACAGUACAGGUUAGGUGUUAAGAGUCACCUCUUAGUUUAGUUUUUAAAGGCACUUGUUUUCCUAGUCAGAUACUAAUUUUGUCAGAUCCUUAGAGAUCUACAAGAAGCAAGUUCUUGACCUUGCUCAGAACAAUUUCCCAAGCCAAAAGGACUUCCCUGAUAAAAGGAGUUUAUUCUGAAGGUUGUUUGUGAUUGGCUUGAAUCAGCACUUCAAUUUUAAAUAUGUACCUGAUGGAACACAAGAUGUACAAAAAGUAUUUCUAUCUCUAACCUGCAAAAUAUAUGUGGUUAUUUUAUUGUAGUAUUAUUCAUUCUCAGAAGCCAAAUUACCCAGAGUAUUUUCUGAAAGUGAAAAUAAAAGCAGUCUGAAUACAGGUAAGUUUGUUUGAUUUUAUUUGGUGAAAAAAUGAUUUUUUAGAACUAAAAUUAAAUCUCUUGACACAUUUCUUAUAAUUAAAAUUAAAUUCUUUGGAAAACAUAUUUAACCAUAGUAUCACAGAAUGCAUCUAUUAUGCUUCAUGUGUUGUAUUUGUUUUUGAUUUCUGCCAUUGUAUUUGAAAACUUAUUAAACAGUGAAAGGAUGAUUUAAGAAAAUGAUAAACAAAUUACAAGUUAUAUUUUUAAGCUACUUGUUUAUAUAUAUUGAAGAAACUCUAGUAAGUCUGAAUUUGAAGAAUGCUCUAGAGUGGAAAAGACUUUGUGUAUCAUGAAUACUUAGUGGCAGUUACCAAAAACGAAAUGUUCUUUGGCAGGUCAGAUGAUUUGAUUGGUCACAGUAUCAUUGUCCUUGUGGCAAAGCGUAUACAUGUGGUCAUUUUUCUGGUUACCUGUGAAAAGCCAUAAUCAUCCCGUUAAUGAGAAUAGUUAAAACUGAAAACAAUGUCUGGAAAUACCAGCACUACCUUUUUGAUUUUUAUCCAUGAGUUUUCUGAAGAUUACUGCUGUCUACUAAAAUACAUGAACAGCUGACUUCCAAGCAUAAUCUGUCACUUGAAGGAUUUCACAGGCUCUCCAUCUAAACUACACACCAUCCGGGACCUGAGCACUGAUUGAAGAGGGAGAAGACUGUGUGAGAAAGCAUGAUGCCAGUGGAAGGCAGGGGCAUGAGUGGGGGCUGCCAGAAGAGCAUUACACGGUCAAUGAGCAACAAGCAUUACUAGUGAAGACUGAAGUCCCAACUUGGAAUGCCCAGUUUGAUGCCCGAUUUCACGUUCUGACAGUAGGCAGAUAGUCCAAAACCUGUGUAUAUUCAUGUAUGUAGAUGUGUAAAAUUCUGUGUAAAGUCAUGUUCAUUUACAGAAUUUUGAUGCAUCUCUGUUCUCCAUAACAUUGAUAUAUCAUUAGCUAUCAGUCAACCUUGCUUAGGAACACAGGUAAGUAUAAUAAUAAUUAAUAUAAAUUAAUUCAUUUUUUAUUAAUUAUUAAGUUUUUGUUUCCCUUAAGGCAAGUCAAUAUCAGGAAACACAGAUAAUGAAGGUUUAUCUUAGAUCUACCUGUUUGUCAGAGCAUGACAACCAGCUUGUGUUUACGUUACUGACAUGCAUGGAAUAAUGUGUACAACCCCGAGACAUUGUGGUUCAUAGAUAAUUGUGAUAAAUACUGGUGAGUGAGUUAAUCUGGAAGAAAAAAGCAUUAAACAGUAUUUUCUUCAAGAGUACAUAUUUUGGCUUGUCAAAAAAAAAAAUCCUGUUCCCAAUCUCCUUGCUCUUUUUUCAUUUUAUUGCAGUAGAUCUGUCAUUUCUUCAGGGGGUUAAUAACAUAAAGAGAAGUAGUCAUUUUAUGUUUUUCUUAUGACCCUAAAAUUAAUCCACUUUCAGUCAAUCAAUCAGUGGUCAUAAUUUUAGGCUGACUGUUCUCAUUGUAAUGGAAAGAGUCUCAUUUAAAUUGACUGAUAAACUGAGAAGCUUUCAUAAAAUACGGUCUGCUUUUAUUAAUCUUUUGACUUAAUAAUGAGCUGUCUGAUUUUUUCUCUCUGUUCACCCACCCUCUCCUUACUUCAGCUCUCCUUGAUAUACACUACACUGUAAUAUGACUGCAGCUGAGCAUUGGGUUUUCUCAGUUCUGUGGUGAUUUUUUUUCCUGAUAUGCCUGAUAAUUUUUAUGUACUUUUUUUUGUGUUUUAUGUACUGUCCUUUUGCUACCUUUUGACUUAGCCAUGUAAAAAUCUACUAUAGAUGCAGAAAUUACUGGUGAAUGAAAUCAUUGAUUUACUUGCACUGGUGCUAUCUCCUUGACAGUGGUGGAAAUACCAGGCGGUUGUGUGAGAAACACUUUUUCCUGCCACAUCCUUUGAAACAUGGGCAUUGUGCUUUCUGUAACAAAAUAACCUUUCUGCACUUUUAGAGGUUUUUUUCAGUAUACUGGUGUUUUCAUAAUAUGUGCAGAUGUAUAAUUAUUUAUGCUUAACUCUCCUAAGGCUUUGGUCUCAAUAAUAUUUUGAGAGAAUUAAGAAGCUACUGCAUCACUGUGUUCAAAAUGUAAACUUUGCUUUUAAACUCAUUUUUUGUUUUGUUGGGUUUUUUUAAAAUAGUACAACUCAAGAGGUGGUAAAUAAAAACAUCUGAUUAGCUUCUCUUUACCAAAUAUUUAGCUUUAUAAGUUUUUGACCUCAGAGAGGCAAUAAGAAAUUUUUGUAUUUCCAGAAGUUUCCAGUGAAAAGCACCGCAAAAUAUGAUGAAAGUAGACAAUGAAGUGAGAGCUAAUUAGAGGUGGCAGGUGGUGGUUCUGCCCACAGUACAAACAGGUUUGAGUGGGAGAUGCUGUCUUAAAAUUAUGUUAUGUGUUACAUCAAUAGCUAAGGAAAAUAAAAUUUAAGAGGAAAAAAGGAUAACCAAAAUAAUCUUUCAGGAGAUGCUUGUUAGACAAACUAAGGUCUACCACCUACAAUAAGAAAACAAAAUGGGCCUUGUACGCAAAUCAAGGGACUUUGUGUUACCCUCUGUUAAAAAUUCUUGACUUAAGGAAAGAGGAGUGACUUUAGUGCUGUGUUCGAUCUUUGUAAUAUAAUGAAGUAUCCUUUUUUGGGCAUUACAGUAAAAUUUUCAAAUUAAAAAUACACUCAUUGUUUUUUAAUCCACUUCCCUGUGAAGUAACACAUACUGGUCAACUUUGGCGGCUGAUUAUGAGGAUAGAAGGCCAGCUUUUUUGGCUGGAUGUGAUUAUGAAUUUUUGUCACUCUGUAAAUUUCAGUGUAUCUUUCUUCUGAAUAGUUUUUUCCACUGUCAAAUUUUUCUGUUCUGGAAAAUUGUUCACCCUCAAUAUUGGCAUAAUUUUUUCAAGGGCAGAUGUUUUCAAACUGAAUUCUCUAACGUAUAUUUUUAGUAGAAAUGACAAAUUAAUUAAUUUAAAAUGGUACUCCUAAAAGACUUAUACUGACUGAAAACAGUAUAAUUUUUUUUUUUAUAUUUGACUACGUAACCUUAACCUAAAAUUUCGUUUAGCUUUUGUGGCUUUGAUUCUAAUUUCAGCUAACUGCCCUUUUAGCCUGCUGCUCUAUUCUAGUGAAAGCAUGGUACAACUUCUGAAACUUCUUGUGGGCUCAGGAGCGCAAGUGAGAGUAAAAUAAUCAGGUGUGGGGAAUGUCAGAAAGUUGAGCUUAUGGGAAAUUCUUAUCUGACAUUACUUCAAGAGUCAAAAUAAUUGGUAAAUUUAAAGGAUCAUAGAAUGAUUAGGAUUUUGUGUUGGCAACUGAGAGAAAUAAGUUCAACUUAGAUACAUGGGAGAAAAUCAUAAAGAGACUGAGGAAUAAAAAUUCAAGUAAGAGAGAUCUAAUUUUUUUAUUGUUGAAUUAAAUACUAUUAUAAGAGGAAAAGAAAUCUGAGAAAAACCAAAUUAUUCAGCAAAUAUUUGAAGGACAGUGAAAUACCUAUUGCCUAGUUACAGAAAGUACUUGUUUAUUUUAAGUAUGUAUUUUAGCAAGAUUAGAGUAAGACAGAAACCACAGUCAAACUGUCUUAAAUACAGAGUGUAAACUUCUAAUGCUAUGUUGAACCCAGGAUGUUAUCUUGGUGGCAAUGAAGUGAAAGGUAGUGAAGUUCUAGCCCUCAUAUGGAAGCAGAAAAGUACAGCGGAGAGGGGAGUUUUGUUUCCUACAGAAAAUUCUCUAAAACUCCAGCACAAGAAAGAACAUAAUCUUAAUUUGUUAGUUCACUUGUCUUUCUAUUUCAACAAUUUAUGCCUAAAAGGUUCAAGUGAAGAUAGCUUGAAUUGCAGUUGAUGUUACAGAGAUACCUUGUGUAUAUGAUUUACUAAUGAAAUCAGAAUUGAUAUUCCGAUAACACUCUGUGCUACAAAGUAUAAGAAAAAGAAUCCUGAGAAUUUACUAAGGUAGAAUUCAUGGAAGGCAGUAAAAUUUUCCUUGCUGCUCUUCUACAAAUAUGUCAGUUUCUCCAAUACUUGCAGUGAAGGGCAGUUUAGACACUGCUAUUAUCUGUCAAAUGACCCUUGCAAGCCAAAGGCCUUAUUAUUAAAUCUCUGACUAAAGCUCCUGUUGUGUUCCUUUAUUUUUACCUCUACCCAAGGUUAUGCUCCAUAUUUAUGGAGCAUUUUUGUAAUUCAGCAGGACUGGCUUCUAAUUGGCUCAUUUACUUGAACAUACUAACAUAGGCAUUAGUUAUUUUCCAGUGUCUCUGAGUCCUGUCAGGGCAAAGGUUGCUCAUGUGAUAGAAGAGAUCUUUGGAGGAUUCUCCAUUCUACAGAGCCAUGUUUGAUUUUAUUCAAGGGAUUAUUCCUGCUUUAGGGCAGUAAAGGCAUCUUAUUUGCUGACUGAAUAUUUUUGCCCUGGAAUUGGUUUAAGAAUAGAUAAGGAAGGAGUCCAAAGACUUUAUUUUUGUCUUUCUCCCAUUGUAUUUUAUCAUUUGCUGCAUUAGGUCCAAUUUCAGAAAAUGAAAGUUGAGAGCAAAAGGCUGACAAGAAAGAAGUGGAAGGAGUCAUUGUGUAGUUUGGAACAAUCCCCUCCCUGUGCUGCAGGGAUGUUUAAAUUAAUUAACAUUUAUUUCAGUAUGAAAGCGAAGAAAAGAUUGAUAGUAAUUCUUCCCAGGGGACAAGAGAAAGGAGAAAGAAAUGCCUUUCCUCACAUACUUCUCUUUCUCCCUCCAGGAAAAUUCAAGUGGGAUAGAAAUGAAUACUGCCUUCAACAGCAGUUCAGUUGGUGGGAGUGGAGGAUACGUGAAAAAGGAUAAGAGAUAUUGGAGGCUAGAGCUGCAAGACAGGCAGAAGAAGAGGUGGUAGAAAGAUAGAUGUGUGAUGCCCAUGUUUAGUGUGAAAAAAUGUGAUGGGAGAGAAAUUCUAAUGAUCACAAUGCAGAAUUAGUAAGGGAAAUAUAAAUAAGGGAGAAAUGAACACGAUUAUUUUGAUGAGAAAAAAGAGUUAUCUGAAAUGAUCUGGUUUUGCCUUAUAAUGUAUAAAACAUAAAUUGUGUAAAUUCAAGGAUGAUGCUACAAAAUUAACAGCUUCUCAUAACUCAAAGCUAAGUUUAUCUGAAGUGUCACAUAUAGCACUCAAAAGUAAAACACCUUUUCUGCCAUUGCCAGAAUGGGUGCUUCUUAACUGUAUCCAUAAAUGAAAAGUUGCAGACAAUUUUCAUGUUUGCCUACCGGCAUUAUAAAUAUGAGAUUCUCUACAUCUUCAGGUUCUGCCUGAUAACUUCCCCAUUUUUCAGUUCUGACUCCCAUUACCUCCUGUAGAAGCUUUGAUUAAUUUAAUGUUCUGACUUUCAGUUUGUAUCGUCUAAAGUUCCCAAAUACUCAUCAUUUGGUUUAUGAUGCUUGUGGUGGAAACAGUGGGUCCUUUAGUUUUGACCUGACUGUGCUGAUUUCCUUGUCAUUCAUGUGCACUAAAUCCAAGAAAACAUGUUUUAGAAAUAGGUAUUUGAUUUAUUAUUUUCAAGCCUCUGUAAAUACUAGUGGUGAUUUUUCUACUAGAUACACACAGAGAAAGGUUAGGAAUAUAAAAAGUCAUACAUUCAUCAGUAUGAAGAAACUACUGCUAUUAAGCAUGGGCAUUCUAACUGUUGUUCCAUCAAAUGUUCAGAAGGAUAAAGCAAAUCAGCUAAAGUUGGUACAGACUCUUGUGUCUGGGAACAAGGUAUUGGUAAUUUCUGUCCUAAUCCUAGUCAUUUUGUUUACUUGUUAGGGGACAGUUUAAAUUUUGCUUCCACUGAAUCAAAUAAGUACAAAGACCAGGAUGGCACCUUUUAGAUGACGUUGCCCAGUUCCCUCCUACUCUCCGCUCCCCUCCUCCAAUCAAGGAGACUCAGGCAGCGUUGAGAGCUGUGUGCACUUGAGUUAUGCCCAGGUUAUGGGUUCGAUCUCCAUAUGGACCUUUCACUUAAGAGUUGGACUUGAUGAUCUAACUCAGAAUAUUUUGUGAUGUUUCUGUGAUGCUUCAAGGGGUUUUGAAUAGCUUCAAAGAUAGAGAUUCCACACCCUCUAUGGAUAAACUCUUCAAUGCUUGACCCAUCCUCACAGUAAAAAAGACUUUUCUUAUGUUUAAAUAAUUUCCUGUAUUUCAAUAUGUGUCUAUUACCCCUUGUCCUGUCCUUAGGCACUACAUUUACUCCAUUUUUUUUACUCCUCCUCAUUAAAUAUAUCCACAGAUGGAUAAAAUUCCUGAGUCUUUUAUUCUUCAGCCAGAGGAGUCCCAGCUCUCUCAGCCUGUCCAUGCAUGAGAGAAGCUUCAGUCCCUUCAUCACUUUUGUAGCCAUUUGCUGGAGCAGCUUUGGAACUGAACUAACGAGCUGGCAGUGGAGAUGUGGUGAGCAGCCAACAAGUCCUGAGGAGUGCAUCAAAAAAAGGGAAGACUAGUAAGUGGCAAAGACUGUCAAUAUUUAUUUAAAGACUAAAAAUUUCACCAGAAAAUGUUAUGCUGAUAAACCACAGGAAGAAUGUCAUGGGUGCAUCCAUUUGUGCUUGCAAAAAAAUGAAUUGAAGGACUCAAGCUUCUGGAGAAACAUCAGUCCUACAUAUCAAAAAGCUUUUGUAACCAUUUCUGAUUCCUACCUGUGUUUCUGACUUACAUCAAUUUUCUGUAUUUCCUUAAACACAUUAGAAGAUGAAAAAAGCCCAUCAGGUCUGUUGAUGCUUCUUUUCUGUUUAGAGUUGACAAUUAUGGUGGUUUGCAAUGUUUUUGAAAAGUGUUCCAGCCCAUAGUCUGGCUCAGUUGCUGUAUGAGUUCAGUCAACAUUCAUUGAAACUAUAAACUUGCUACAAACCCUGCCUUUUCUUUCAAGCUAUACAAAUUAUGGACUGAUACACCAUCCAGCUCUUGUAGCAGGAGAGGGCAUCUGUUCAACUUUUAAAAGUAUAUGGUACACUUGUCCAGCCUCUAGAAUUAAAGAUUGCCUACUUAAUUAUUAAAUGGCUUAGGGAAGAGAAUUAAUUGUGUCUUCAUUUCAUGGAAAGAAACAUGUGGAAAAACUGAAAUAUGCUUGACACGAGCAGCCUGGUUCAAGUUUACAGAGCUGCAAACUGUUGGCCCUUAGCUAAGGCAGUAAGGCAUCUCUGGUGCUGUGCAAUGUAACUAUAACUUCUGAGGAUGGGUUUGUGUCAUUUGUUUAAGGAAAAUCAUGCAUAAACUAGAGUACAACAAUCAUCUAGAAAGCUAAUAAAUGAAGAAAAAUGAAAGACAGAGGUGAAAACUUGCCAGUUUGGAAAAAGCAAUGAGAUGACAGAACAGACACUUUGAAGCAAACCUCCAUAGAUCCGGAAGUUCCAGAUUCUUGAAUUUGACUACUGAUUACAAUUUUUUCUUUUAUUUGGGUAAGACAGGAUUAAAGAAAAAAUACCAGCUUUUGGACCCAAUUAAUUUUAAAACAAUCAAGUUUUUGGUGCUUGAUACACUAGUACCACAUACUGCUGCUUAUGUGCUGGGGAAAACAUUUGACACUGCAAGGAAGAAAGGAAAGAAAUUAAAGGAAAGAAAUUGCAAGUAAAACAUCAAAUAGGCAAAGGAAACAUCAUAUUUGACUUGAUGUUCUUGGGUAGUUUCUACAGGGAGCAAGACUGGGUUAAUUCAGCUCUGUUUAGCAAAGAGAAGAGGUUGAAUUCUGUGGGAAGAUACUUCUGUUCCUCCACCGUGUCUCCAUGCCUCUUCCCAUAUCAAAACAUGCCUCCUAUCAGCUUGCUCCAAUUAUUGAAACAGUAGCGUCAUGAGUCAUCAUUCAUCAUUUCUACGUUUCUUCACCUACAGAAUUACCAAAGACUGUGGGCAUCCACUUGCAAUUCAGAGCAAAAUGUUACUUCUAUGUUAUCAUGCAAUAUUCCAUGGUAACAUGACACAUCUUCCAUGUGUGAAUUACAGUGGUGGUAUUAUUUUACUGGUGCAGCUGGAGAAAUACUUGUUAAUGCUAAUCUGCUUGUGUAAAUAAGAUCAAUAAACAGACAAUGCCUGUGAAGUUGCCAAGAUUCUCAGAAAGUUCAGCUCAGAAAUCAAAAUUUUAAAAAUUAGCUUCUAUUCCUAGACCUGUGCAUUCAUUUUCUACCUUAAUCCCACAUAAGAUGCUCCCUGAUAUAAAGGCUACAAAUAUAUAAUACUCCAACUCAGUCUCUGUUAGAAUAUCACAUCUGGCACCAGUAAUGAAGAAAUACUAGCACAGGACUUACCUUGACCAAAGAAAUCCUAAACAUAGUGUUAUAAGUCAUCAUUCAUUAUUUUCUUGGAGCAAAACUGUCUGCAACUAAAGUUGUCACACCUCUGGACUUUGUACAGCUUUUCUGAGAUAUUCUGCCCUGAUUCACACAGUUACAGGCGCUUCAUGAUUCAUCUCAAAACACUGAAAUAUGAUGUUCCAUUAGUUAUAAGCAUGCAAUGCCCUGCUUCCACUGUCUAAUUUUUGUCAAAGUGUGGAAAUAAUCUGGAGGGAUCAAAAAGUGCUGCCUAUGCCUCUCAACAAAGAGCAAGUGGGGGAUGCAAUUAGAUGAACAAUCCUUUGGUGUUGGUUGUAGAAAUUAAUUAUAAUCUUGAAUGCUUUACAUUAACUGUAGCUUUAAGAGACAAAAAAGAGUACAGAAUCGGAAUGAUGUGCUGUGAUGGACAAAAAUCAGCACUUGCAGACAGUACCACUACUAAUGCCAAAGGAACAUAUAUUUUUUACUGUAGACUCUGGUGUUCAGGAUCAGAAUGUAGAAGUGUGAAAACUUCACUCAUUUAUUUGCUCCAGAUUUUUCUGCAAAAAUAUUGCAUUAGUUCCACACCUUUACCUUUCUGACCUCAUUAUACAACCAGAAAAAAAAAAUAUUUUAACUUUGAAAAGUAUUAAAAGUCAACUCAUAGACAUUUGUAGAUUGCAUCUCUCUUCUUACAGAAAGUUAUGAUCUGUCAUAUAUGGCAGGUUCAGAUAACCACAUUACCUCUAAUAGCAGAUUUAACUUUUUAAGUUUUGUGUAAUUUUGUGGCUAUUUAAUUUAGAUUAUUUGUUUCUCUCAGACCGACCAACCAACCAACCAGCCAACCAACCAUUCAAUCAACCCCACAGUUUUCAUGUGAUUCUUGAAGAUUUUAAUUUUCGAAUGUAGCAUUUAAUUUUGUGAUGUGAAAAAUGGGUUGUUCUGUAAGUGUUUCAUCUUGGGGCUUAAAAGGAAAACUUUCGCUUUUGGGGUUAUGUUUGUUUUGCUGCCAUAGGAGACAACAGAAUCCAGAAAGGCAAAUAACUGAUGAGUCCGUGGAAAGAGCUCAGCAAGAACAGGUAGUGAGAUGAAAAGGUUGAGGCAAGGAAAGCCUGUAAGUACAGUGUAGCACAGAGCAAAAGUGAGAAGCAGAUUAGGAUGAGAGAGGUAAGGAGCUGAGCUGGAGAUGGUAACUCAUUGCAGAAAUCUGGAGGUGAUGGAGGAAGAAAGGUAUGUAAUUGUUAUUUGCAUCACCAGGGAUCGAAGAAUGGAAUCUGUUAUUGAGCACCCUGUCAAGUAGCUUUUAUCUCCAUUAUGCAGAUAAGACUUAAUGACUUCCAAAUCUGAAAGAAACAAAAAUCCUUGGUAUUGGUAAAGAGAGAAAUUGUAUGUUCUGUCUCCCACAUUUAUGCAUUUGCAUAUAUUUCCAAUACCUGCCCUGCAUAGAUAUUCAAGGUUUCAUUUGUAAUUUCUAAGGCCAAACUCAAGAUCCGGUUAAAGGUUCUGUAUUUUAUUGAUAAGCUGUGGAAAAAAAAAGUUAGAUGUUUCAGAUAUUAAAUCUCAGUUUUCAGUAUCAUCGAAGGGCAAGACAUGUAAAUGCCAUUUUGACCUACAAAGUAUGUAAGAAGUAAAUAUUAUAAAAUCAGCACAUGACAUUCACUGACACUCAGAUGAGAUCUUCAGAGCUUAAUAAAUGUCACUGUAACUGAGCUGCAAAUUGGUGAACUUUUUCUCUUGGAUUCUGUUCAGUUGAUUAUAGAAAUGCACUGUUUGCUUUGCAUGAGGUGGAUUGAAAGGAGCAGCUUAGGUAUUGAUGAAGAAGGAAAUUCAGUUGCAAUUGGGUGUGUGAAAAAAUGUAUGAGUUGAACAAAAACAUCUCAAAAGGUUCCUUCUAAGUUCAACUUCUAUGUGAUUCUGUAACACCAAAGCCUUCUAAAAAACAUCUCCUCGUGUAUAUGUAUAAAAAUAUGUAUAUAUGCCUAAAAACAUGCAUAUAUGCAUAGAAUACCUGCCUGCUGCUUAGUCAUUUGGUUAUAGUUAGAUUCAAAGCUAGCACUUUUCUAGUUUUUGAAUUAAUAACUUAGCUUUCUAACAUUUGUGGGAGAGAAGGUCAAAAUAUGGUUUCAGUAGGACAGACUACUCAGUUUUCUCAUGUAUAUGUGUAUCAGUCAUCUGUCAUGAAUAAAGAUGUAUAUUGCA